GGGGCUGUAGCGCAGAGGGAGCGCGUUUCCUUCGCACGGAAAAGGCCGGGGGUUCGAGUCCCCCCAGCUCCACCA
This 75-nucleotide transfer RNA is filed under the name Acetomicrobium flavidum. RNAcentral describes it as "tRNA-Ala". It matches the Rfam family "tRNA". Rfam says of the family: Transfer RNA (tRNA) molecules are approximately 80 nucleotides in length. Their secondary structure includes four short double-helical elements and three loops (D, anti-codon, and T loops). Lineage: Bacteria; Thermotogati; Synergistota; Synergistia; Synergistales; Acetomicrobiaceae. The record is from RNAcentral. RNAcentral also lists the same sequence under 1 other name.